Molecule: non-coding RNA, 25 nt
Filed under: Drosophila melanogaster (fruit fly)
Lineage: Eukaryota; Metazoa; Arthropoda; Insecta; Diptera; Drosophilidae
Source: RNAcentral
UAAUUUUGCUGAGAAGGCCGUCAUG